Molecule: non-coding RNA, 104 nt
Organism: Acanthosepion pharaonis
Lineage: Eukaryota; Metazoa; Mollusca; Cephalopoda; Sepiida; Sepiidae
Source: the annotation of a GenBank genome assembly
UUACGGCCAUAUCACUCUGAAACAUCGGCCCUCGUCCGAACACCGAAGUUAAGCAAUGCCGAGCCUGGUCAGUACCUAGAUGGCUGACCGUUUGGGAAUACCAG